GACGAACGCUGGCGGCGUGCUUAACACAUGCAAGUCGAACGGUGAAGCGCCUUCCUUUUUGGUGGGUGUGGAUGAGUGGCGAACGGGUGAGUAACACGUGAGUAACCUGCCCCCUUCUUCUGGAUAACCGCAUGAAAGUGUGGCUAAUACGGGAUAUUCUGGGUCUGUCGCAUGAUGGGUCUGGGAAAGAUAUUGUUUCGGUGGGGGAUGGGAUCGCGGCCUAUCAGCUUGUUGGUGGGGUGAUGGCCUACCAAGGCGGUGACGGGUAGCCGGCCUGAGAGGGUGGACGGUCACACUGGGACUGAGACACGGCCCAGACUCCUACGGGAGGCAGCAGUGGGGAAUAUUGCACAAUGGGCGCAAGCCUGAUGCAGCGACGCCGCGUGAGGGAUGGAGGCCUGCGGGUUGUGAACCUCUUUCGCCAGUGAAGCAGGCCUGCCUCGUUUGUGGGUGGGUUGACGGUAGCUGGAUAAGAAGCGCCGGCUAACUACGUG
RNAcentral lists this ribosomal RNA (494 nucleotides) under uncultured bacterium. RNAcentral's name for it is "partial 16S ribosomal RNA". It matches the Rfam family "Bacterial small subunit ribosomal RNA", at positions 28 to 507 of the family's 1533-position model. The record is from RNAcentral.